CUCCACCGCUUGUGUGAGCCCCCGUCAAUUUCUUUGAGUUUUAGCCUUGCGACCGUACUCCCCAGGCGGUGUACUUAACGUUCUUACUUCGACCACAAUGACGUAUUAGUCUCCGCGAUCCAGUACACAUAGUUUAGGGCGUGGACUACCGGGGUAUCUAAUCCCGUUUGCUCCCCACGCUUUCGUGCAUCAGCGUCAGAAUAGGCCCAGUCACCUGUCUUCGCCAUCGGCGUUCCUCUAGAUAUCUACGCAUUUCACCGCUCCACCUAGAGUUCCAGUGACCCCUACCUACCUCAAGAUCCCCAGUCUACCGAGCAAUUCCAUGGUUGAGCCAUGGGAUUUCACAAGGCACUUGAAGAUCCGCCUACGCACCCUUUAAGCCCAGUGAUUCCGAUUAACGCUCGAGGCCUCUGUACUACCGCGGCUGCUGGCACAGAGUUAGCCGCCUCUUCCUCUGGGUCUCCUCAAUGUUUUGGUAGACCCUGACAGCAGUUUACACCCCGA
Molecule: ribosomal RNA, 504 nt
Filed under: uncultured Planctomycetota bacterium
Lineage: Bacteria; Pseudomonadati; Planctomycetota
Description: uncultured planctomycete partial 16S ribosomal RNA
Source: RNAcentral